Molecule: ribosomal RNA, 421 nt
Filed under: uncultured bacterium
Lineage: Bacteria
Description: partial 16S ribosomal RNA
Rfam family: Bacterial small subunit ribosomal RNA
Source: RNAcentral
AAUAUUGGACAAUGGGCGAAAGCCUGAUCCAGCCAUGCCGCGUGUGUGAAGAAGGUAUNCGGAUUNUNAAGCACUUUACGUAGGGNGGAAGGGCUUUAGGUUAAUACCCUGAAGUUUUGACGUUACCAACAGAAUAAGCACCGGCUAACUUCGUGCCAGCAGCCGAGGUAAUACGAAGGGUGCAAGCGUUAAUCGGAAUUACUGGGCGUAACGGACGCGUAUGUGGUUUGUUUAGUUUGAAGUGAACGCCCCUGGCUCAACCUGUGAACUGCUUUCAAAACUGGCAAGCUAGAGUAUGGCAGAGGGUGGUGUAAUUUCCUGUGUAGCGGUGAAAUGCGUAGAUAUAGGAAGGAACACCAGUGGCGAAGGCGACCACCUGGGCUAAUACUGACACUGAGGUGCGAAAGCGUGGGGAGCAAAC